CCACUUUAAACCAAUGAUAACCCCCUUAUUUAAUUAAAAAACUAAACCAUUCUUAUAGUCUAGUAAAGGAGAUUGAAAAUUUUUUAGGAGCUAUACCCCAGUACCGCAAGGGAAUGAUGAAAUAAAAAUGAAACAAAUUUUAAGCAAAGAAAAGUAGAGAUCUGCUCUCGUACCUUUUGCAUCAUGGUUUAACUAGUCAAAUCAAGCAAAAAGACUUAAAGUUUGACCUCCCGAAACUAAGUGAGCUACUUCAAGGCAGCUUUAUGAGCCAACCCGUCUCUGUAGCAAAAGAGUGGGAAGACCUUCAAGUAGGGGUGACAGACCUAUCGAACUUAGUGAUAGCUGGUUGCCUGGGAAAAGGAUUUUAGUCCAACUUAAAAUUAUUACUAUAUCUUAAAAUUUAACUUUGAUUUUAGAGCAAUUCAAGCAAGGUACAGCCUGCUUGAAACAGGAUACAACCUAAUACUGAGGGUAACCUGAUCUAAUUAGCAAUAAAGUGGGCCUAAAAGCAGCCACCUUUUAAACAGCGUCACAGCUUAAUUUCAAAGCAGAUCAAAUUAUAAAAAUACCCAUGAACCCCACUUUAGUACCAAGCAAUUCUAUACCUUUAUAGAACCUUUUAUGUUAAAACUAGUAACAAGAAGACCCCCUUCUCUUUAAUGCAAGCAUAAAUCAGUCAGGAUCAACCACUGAUAAUUAACACCCAUGAGCCCACAGUAAAAACGCCACAAGAAAACCCUACUACACUCCAUGUUAACCUAACACAAGAGCAUUACAAGAAAGAUUAAAAGAAAAAGAAGGAACUCGGCAAACAUUAACCCCGCCUGUUUACCAAAAACAUCGCCUCUUGAUAAACUUAUAAGAGGUCCAGCCUGCCCAGUGACUCUGUUCAACGGCCGCGGUAUCCUAACCGUGCGAAGGUAGCGUAAUCACUUGUUCUUUAAAUGAGGACUAGUAUGAAUGGCACCACGAAGGUUAUACUGUCUCCUUUUUCUAAUCAGUGAAACUAAUCUUCCCGUGAAGAAGCGGGAAUAAAAAUAUAAGACGAGAAGACCCUAUGGAGCUUUAAACAAAUAUACACCUGCCUUACCACCAAAAAAAUUUCAGCAAACAAAUAAUUACCCAGGCAUUUUGAUAUAGCGUUUUAGGUUGGGGUGACCACGGAGCAAAAAACAACCUCCGCAACGAACGGGAAAUCUUUCCCUAAACCAAGGGCCACGACCCCAAGUAUCGAUAAAUCGACACUAAUUGACCCAAUAAAUUUGAUCAAUGAACCAAGUUACCCUAGGGAUAACAGCGCAAUCCACUUCAAGAGCCCCUAUCGACAAGUGGGUUUACGACCUCGAUGUUGGAUCAGGGUAUCCCAGUGGUGCAGCCGCUACUAACGGUUCGUUUGUUCAACGAUUAAAACCCU
This 1414-nucleotide ribosomal RNA is filed under the name Leptodactylus mystaceus (basin white-lipped frog). RNAcentral's name for it is "partial 16S ribosomal RNA". It matches the Rfam family "Bacterial large subunit ribosomal RNA", at positions 387 to 2597 of the family's 2925-position model. The record is from RNAcentral. Lineage: Eukaryota; Metazoa; Chordata; Amphibia; Anura; Leptodactylidae.